UGGCCGUUACAACUGUCUUGUGAAGCACUCAUGAAAGGUGGCCGGGUACCACUGUAUCAAUGGCCCAGUUGCCCAUCUCCUGGCGAGAGAUUUCCCUAAGUGACCUGGAAGUGUCACUAUUACCACCGCCCCACAUGAAUCUUGUGCUGGAGGCGACUAGAGCUGUGUGUCCCUCAGCAGAAGCAGGUGGCAUAAGCAAGAGUUCCAUUUUGGUUUCAUUUUCAGAGGACCCCAAUUGCGCAGUCUGCAAGAAAUAAUGUGCCUCUCAGGAUGGUUCCAAGCUGAGCCCAAAUCACUGAGGGAGAUUCACUGCUUGCUAACAUGAACUUUAUUCCUGGAUAAACAAGUCCCAAACCGUCUUGUCCAUAUGCCACCACGGUCAGGUCAAAACACACAUUAUCA
Molecule: long non-coding RNA, 402 nt
Filed under: Homo sapiens (human)
Lineage: Eukaryota; Metazoa; Chordata; Mammalia; Primates; Hominidae
Description: HSALNT0280921
Source: RNAcentral